GCCGAGGUGGUGGAACUGGUAGACACGCAGGACUAAGGAUCCUGUGCCUGUCAAAGGGCGUGAGAGUUCAAGUCUCUCUCUCGGCAUCA
This 89-nucleotide transfer RNA is filed under the name Denitrovibrio acetiphilus DSM 12809. RNAcentral's name for it is "tRNA-Leu". It matches the Rfam family "tRNA". From Rfam's summary of the family: Transfer RNA (tRNA) molecules are approximately 80 nucleotides in length. Lineage: Bacteria; Pseudomonadati; Deferribacterota; Deferribacteres; Deferribacterales; Geovibrionaceae. The record is from RNAcentral.